UCCCCUAGUAACUGCGAGUGAAGCGGGAAAAGCUCAAAUUUAAAAUCUGGUAGUCUCUGGCUGCCCGAGUUGUAAUCUGGAGAAGUGUUUUCUGUGCUGGGCCGUGUACAAGUCUCUUGGAAUAGAGCGUCAUAGAGGGUGAGAAUCCCGUCUUUGACACGGACAUCCAGUGCUCUGUGAUGCACUCUCAAAGAGUCGAGUUGUUUGGGAAUGCAGCUCAAAAUGGGUGGUAAAUUCCAUCUAAAGCUAAAUAUUGGCAAGAGACCGAUAGCGAACAAGUACCGUGAGGGAAAGAUGAAAAGAACUUUGGAAAGAGAGUUAAACAGUACGUGAAAUUGUUGAAAGGGAAACGCUUGAAGUCAGUCGCGUCUAGCAAGGAUCAGCCYUUCUCGGARGGUGUAUUUCUUGCUUGACGGGUCAACAUCAAUUUUGAYUACUGGAAAAAGGCCAGAGGAAGGUGGCACCUUCGGGUGUGUUAUAGCCUUUGGUCAUAUACAGUAGUUGGGAUUGAGGAAUUCAGCAUGCCUUCAUGGCUGGGGUUCGCCCACAUUCAUGCUUAGGAUGUUGGCAUAAUGGCUUUAAGCGACCCGUCUUGAAACACGGACCAAGGAGUCUAACAUACCUGCC
RNAcentral lists this ribosomal RNA (627 nucleotides) under Agroathelia rolfsii. RNAcentral's name for it is "Athelia rolfsii partial large subunit ribosomal RNA". Lineage: Eukaryota; Fungi; Basidiomycota; Agaricomycetes; Amylocorticiales; Amylocorticiaceae. The record is from RNAcentral.